Molecule: ribosomal RNA, 485 nt
Filed under: uncultured bacterium
Lineage: Bacteria
Description: partial 16S ribosomal RNA
Rfam family: Bacterial small subunit ribosomal RNA
Source: RNAcentral
ACUCAAAGGAAUUGACGGGGGCCCGCACAAGCGGCGGAGCGUGCGGUUUAAUUCGACGCAACGCGCAGAACCUUACCCGGGCUUGACAUGCGCCUGCAGACGUGGGAAACCACGGGGCCUUCGAGGGUGGCGCACAGGUGCUGCAUGGCUGUCGUCAGCUCGUGUCGUGAGAUGUUGGGUUAAGUCCCGCAACGAGCGCAACCCCCGCGGCUAGUUGCUGAGGUUUCUAGCCGGACUGCCGGUAGCAAGCCGGAGGAAGGUGGGGAUGAUGUCAAGUCAGCAUGGCCCUUACGUCCGGGGCGACACGCACGCUACAAUGGCCAGGACAGUGGGUUGCCAAGGCGCGAGCCGGAGCCAAUCCCCCAAACCUGGUCUCAGUUCGGAUUGCGGGCUGCAACUCGCCCGCAUGAAGGUGGAGUCGCUAGUAACCGCGGGUCAGCACUACCGCGGUGAAUACGUUCCCGGGCCUUGCACACACCGCCCGU